GGCCGACUAGCUCAGUUGGUUAGAGCGUCGUGCUAAUAUGCGGUCCCUGGCGAUCCAUUCAACGCGAAGGUCUUGGGUUCGAUCCCCACGUUGGCCA
Non-coding RNA from Marasmius tenuissimus, 97 nucleotides. Lineage: Eukaryota; Fungi; Basidiomycota; Agaricomycetes; Agaricales; Marasmiaceae. The record is from the annotation of a GenBank genome assembly.